Long non-coding RNA from Erinaceus europaeus (western European hedgehog), 2094 nucleotides. RefSeq lists it as uncharacterized. NCBI's taxonomy places the organism in Eukaryota, Metazoa, Chordata, Mammalia, Eulipotyphla, Erinaceidae. The record is from RefSeq and is a predicted model, not a curated record. The transcript has 5 exons.
UUCCCUGGGCAGAUAGUGUUUCACAUUGCAUACUAUGUACUUUAGUAGCUCCGGAACGCAGGGGUGGGGAGGGUCCCCUCUGCAUCCUUGGUAUUUUCUCUGCUACUGCUUUCAGGCACCUGUUUUUCCUCUCCAUCCCGGAAUGGAGCCCAGACAAGGAUUUUAAAUAGUACAAGGAGAUCGGGUGUCUGAGCAGUCUUGGAUUAAACCUUCUACAACAGAUUUGCAUCCUUUGACUCGUUUCCAAGAAAGUGAUGUAUUAUUUGCCCUAUCCUCUGGCUGCUGUAACAAUGUUCCCUAGAAUGAAAACAAACCAUUAGACUCUGACCACAGAACUAAGAUCAUCAGAAGGAGGAAUGAGGCUUUGAUGUGUUAGGUACUGUGAAGCUCAAGCACCAGUGAAAGGAUCCCAGUUUGAAGCCCCGUUGCCAACCUGCAGGGGGGUCGCUUCUUGGGUGGUGAAGCAGAAUUCAAAGACAUUUCAAAUGGAUAUGCUAGCAUGUUUGAAUCUCAACCGUUAUGCUAAAUUCUUCUGGCAAAUCAGGUCACACAAUUCCUGGGUCAGCUCCGUCAUGCUUCCUGACCAAUGAGCUGAGAGAUUCAUAUCUACUUAGUUAUGGCUGAGUACUUAAACUGGUUUUCCCAUAUAAUCUUCUAGUUAAUCCUAUAUAAAGUAACUGAAGAAGAAACUGAUACUCAAAGAAAAGAACUAAUGUAUCCCAGAUCGUUUGAACAUUGACAGCAAAGCCAGGUUUUAGUAGGUUGGCUGUAUAUUAUAUUCAGAUUUCACAGUAUUACUAUGUUAUAAUGUCUUGUGGAAGAAAAAAAAAAAACAUGAGAAAAGUAAGCAAAUAAGUACAACAGUAGCCAAAGUGCUAUGGCAGAGAUGUGUGGAAAGAAUGUAAUUUCUUUAAAGAAUAAAAAAAAUCUGUAAAGGCACAGAUGCUAUACUGACUCUUAAAAGUAUGUUUUAGUUGAGGGAAAGUUCACUGCAGAAUGGUAUAAAGUAUAUGUAAAAGGUACUAAGACAAUAAAACUUCAUGUGGGUCUGACUUUAGGGUGUAGGGAACACAUCAUAAAUGUGUAUAUUUGCUAUUUUAAGAAGUUUAGAUCCUACUGAGUAGGGCUAUAUUCACUUAACCCGCUGUGCUAUAGCCUGACUCCCAGUAAAAAUACUCUGUAUAAUUUUUGCACCGUGCCUUGCUGAGUAUUUAGAUUACUGUAGGGGUAGUGUGAUGACACAGUGGGUUAAGUGCACAUAGUAUGAAGCACAAGGAUCAUGGUUUUAGCCCCCAGCUUCCCACCUGCAGGGAGUUGCAUCACAAUCAGUGAAGCAGGUCUGUAGGUGUCUCUCUCCUGAUCUAUCUACCCCUCUUCCCCUCUCAAUUUCUUGCUGUUCUAUCCAAUUAAAAAAAAAAAAGAUUUUAAUGUGUGUGUGUGUAUGUGUGUGUGUGUGUGUUUCGGCUGCCAGGGAUUUGACUGAAGUCCAUGUCUGUGCAAUUCCACCUCUCCAAGUGAACAUAUUUUUGUUUUCCAGAUAUAGGAUAAGAGACAGAGAGUCAAGAGACACCACACAGCUCUCCACCACCCCUCGCCAAGCUUCCCUCUUUGCACGAUACUCCUAGUGUCUAGGGGCUCGAACUUAGGUCCUUCCUUGCACAUGGCAAAGAAUGUACUUAAUCCUGCUCCCCUCACCCCAGAAUACAUAAUGUUCAGUGAAUGUGGCUAAUUAAUUUUACUAAUAUUAUUUCUUUUUAAUAUAUAAAUAUAUAUAUUAUUGGAUAGAGACAGAGAGAGACAGAGAGGAGGGGGGAUACCAAGGAAAAGAGACAGACAGACACCUGCACACCUGCUUCACCACUCAUGAAGCUUUCCCACCUGCAAGUGGGGACCAGGGGUUUGAACCUGGGUCCUUGUGCACUGUAACGUGUACUUAAUCAGUUGUGCUACCACCUGGCCCCAGUAAUAUUACUUCUAGGUUUAUCAUUCUAUUUAAUCAGAUGGAAGGACACCUACAGACUUUACAAUAGUGAACAAUAAAAGUUGUUAUGGACUAAAAAUUUCUAGUUGUAUUUUAUAUCUUUUACCUUUCAU